AGAAUGAUUAAAUCCCUGGGCUGGGAUGAAGAAUGUCAGGCAAACUGCACUGCAGUAGAAGAAUGGGGCCUGGCUGUGGUGCCAGAAGGGGAAUUCCUCCGAGACGGUCAUGAACCCAGCCUUUGGGAUCUGGGUGAGGAUACAGCUGGAAGGUUCCGGAACACCAUGCCACCGUUUAUUAUUGUAAUCUUGAACUCAUUGUCAGAUAGUGACCUUCCUUAAAACCUUGAUGAAUGUGGAUGGAUCAAAAGGAAAAGAAAUGGACAAAGCUGGCUCAUUUAUUGCUCUGUGGCUGAGAGAAACGGAUUUAAAACCUGGUUUAAAAUCUAGGCCAUAGGGCCAUUGAAACCAGCGAUUCAUGGUUGUGACAUGAUCUCUUGGGAUUUUCAGCCCUUUCCAGUCUUGAUGCUUUAAGAGGACACUUGACCUUCCACCCAUUCAGCCACAGAGACAAGUGGAGUCUAGCCAUCCUACUGCUUAGACCAGGAAAAUGGGAGUCAGGACUCCUGGCUCUUCAUGAGAAGUGUGUCUAGUGGUUAGAGUCAGAGACUGGGCUGGGAGAAGAGAGGGUGUCUAGUGCUUACAGCAAGGACAGGGGGAAGACUCCUGCAUUCCAGCCCCCCUUCUGGGAGGUCAGUGGUAUCUAGUGAUUAGGGCAGAGGAGAAUGGUAGACAGGACUCCUGAGUUCUUCUAUUUUCCAGGUCAGAGUCAGAGACUGGGAAUCAGAUCUGGGGAGCAGAGAGGUCUAAUGGGUUAGAGUAGGGUGGCACUGGGAGCCAGGACUCCUGGAUUCUAUUUCCAGCUCUGGGAGGGAAGUGGUCUCUAGUGAUUAAAGGUGGGGGUGUCUGGGCUCUGGAGUUCCAUUCUCAGAGCGUGUGACCUUGGGCAAUCAUGGGUGGUAAAGCUUCAUUGGUUGAGUUUUAGAAAACACUUUGUAAUCUGGUGCUAGUGAGAUGUAGAGUAUCAUUGCACUGCCCUGAGAGAGAUUAAAAACUGAAGGUGACAUGGGGAAAGAUGACAUCUGGAGUGGGGAAAGACAGUAAGCACAGUUGCACCUCCAUCCUUCCCAUCAGGGUCUUAAAGGUCCCAUUCAACCACAUGGACACAGGAUACUAUUAAUAACCCACUCUGUCCCUGUCCUGCUCAAGAGGAUUAGUGUAGAGAAAUUCUUCCCUAGUCUCUGCUGGAGGGAUAUAGGGGGCAUAGAUGAGCAUCUCUCUAAGGGGGUUAUAUAGGAUCAAUUACCAUAAAAUCUGGGCACCUCACAAUAUUUUAAUUGGGGCUAUCAAGUGAUUUAAAAAAUUAAUCACGAUUAAUCACACUGUUAAAUAGAAUACCAUUUAUCUAAAUAUUUUUGGAUGUUUUCUACAUUUUCAAAUAUAUUGAUUUCACUUACAAC
This 1400-nucleotide long non-coding RNA is filed under the name Chelydra serpentina (North American snapping turtle). Its description in RNAcentral is "lncRNA (ENSCSRG00000010415.1)". Lineage: Eukaryota; Metazoa; Chordata; Testudines; Chelydridae. The record is from RNAcentral.